CGGCGACGGGUGAGUAACACGUGGAUAACCUACCUAUAAGACUGGGAUAACUUCGGGAAACCGGAGCUAAUACCGGAUAAUAUAUUGAACCGCAUGGUUCAAUAGUGAAAGACGGUUUUGCUGUCACUUAUAGGUGGAUCCGCGCCGCAUUAGCUAGUUGGUAAGGUAACGGCUUACCAAGGCAACGAUGCGUAGCCGACCUGAGAGGGUGAUCGGCCACACUGGAACUGAGACACGGUCCAGACUCCUACGGGAGGCAGCAGGC
This 265-nucleotide ribosomal RNA is filed under the name uncultured Staphylococcus sp. Its description in RNAcentral is "partial 16S ribosomal RNA". It matches the Rfam family "Bacterial small subunit ribosomal RNA", at positions 96 to 354 of the family's 1533-position model. Lineage: Bacteria; Bacillati; Bacillota; Bacilli; Caryophanales; Staphylococcaceae. The record is from RNAcentral.